UACGGAGGAUGCAAGCGUUAUCCGGAUUCAUUGGGUUUAAAGGGUGCGCAGGCGGGUUUGUAAGUCAGUGGUGAAAGACUGCCGCUUAACGGUAGAGGUGCCAUUGAUACUGCAGAUCUUGAGUUUGGAUGAGGUAAGCGGAAUGUGCAGUGUAGCGGUGAAAUGCAUAGAGAUUGCACAGAACUCCGAUUGCGAAGGCAGCUUACUAAACCAAUACUGACGCUGAGGCACGAAAGCGUGGGGAGCGAACAGGAUUAGAUACCCUGGUAGUCCACGCUGUAAACGAUGUUCACUCGCUGUUUGCGAUAUACAGUAAGCGGCUGAGCGAAAGCAUUAAGUGAACCACCUGGGGAGUACGAUCGCAAGGUUGAA
RNAcentral lists this ribosomal RNA (372 nucleotides) under uncultured bacterium. Its description in RNAcentral is "bacterial SSU rRNA". It matches the Rfam family "Bacterial small subunit ribosomal RNA", at positions 524 to 898 of the family's 1533-position model. The record is from RNAcentral.